UGGGGAAUAUUGCACAAUGGGCGCAAGCCUGAUGCAGCCAUGCCGCGUGUAUGAAGAAGGCCUUCGGGUUGUAAAGUACUUUCAGUCGGGAGGAAGGUGUCAAGGUUAAUAACCUUGGCAAUUGACGUUACCGACAGAAGAAGCACCGGCUAACUCCGUGCCAGCAGCCGCGGUAAUACGGAGGGUGCAAGCGUUAAUCGGAAUUACUGGGCGUAAAGCGCACGCAGGCGGUUGAUUGAGUCAGAUGUGAAAUCCCCGGGCUUAACCCGGGAAUUGCAUCUGAUACUGGGCAGCUAGAGUCUUGGAGAGGGGGGUAGAAUUCCAUGUGUGGCGGUGAAAUGCGUAGAGAUGUGGAGGAAUACCGGUGGCGAAGGCGGCCCCCUGGACAAAGACUGACGCUCAGGUGCGAAAGCGUGGGGAGCUAACAG
RNAcentral lists this ribosomal RNA (428 nucleotides) under Chloroflexota bacterium. RNAcentral's name for it is "Chloroflexi bacterium partial 16S ribosomal RNA". It matches the Rfam family "Bacterial small subunit ribosomal RNA", at positions 355 to 775 of the family's 1533-position model. The record is from RNAcentral. Lineage: Bacteria; Bacillati; Chloroflexota.